RNAcentral lists this ribosomal RNA (119 nucleotides) under Pteropus alecto (black flying fox). The record is from RNAcentral. Lineage: Eukaryota; Metazoa; Chordata; Mammalia; Chiroptera; Pteropodidae.
GUCUACGGCCAUACCACCCUGAACACGCCCGAUCCCAUCUGAUCUUGGAAGUUAAGCAGGGUUGAGCCUGGCUAGUACUUGGAUGGGAGACCGCCUAGGAAGACCAGGUGCUGUAGGCA